RNAcentral lists this ribosomal RNA (120 nucleotides) under Scophthalmus maximus (turbot). The record is from RNAcentral. Lineage: Eukaryota; Metazoa; Chordata; Actinopteri; Pleuronectiformes; Scophthalmidae.
GCUUACGGCCACACCGCCUGGUUCACGCCCUGAUCUCGUUUGAUCUCGGAAGCUAAGGUAGGUUGGGCCUGGUUAGUACUUGGAUGGCAGACCGCCUGGGAAUACCAGGUGCUGUAAGCU